GCUGGGCGUGGUGGUGCAUGCCUGUGAUCCGAGCCUCUCCGGAGGCUGAGGCAGGAAGAUUGGGAGUUCAAAGCCAGCCUCAGUAAAAGUUUGGUGCUAAGCAACACAGUGAGACCCUGUCUCUA
RNAcentral lists this small RNA (125 nucleotides) under Marmota monax (woodchuck). Lineage: Eukaryota; Metazoa; Chordata; Mammalia; Rodentia; Sciuridae. The record is from RNAcentral.